This 548-nucleotide ribosomal RNA is filed under the name uncultured bacterium. RNAcentral describes it as "bacterial SSU rRNA". It matches the Rfam family "Bacterial small subunit ribosomal RNA", at positions 355 to 895 of the family's 1533-position model. The record is from RNAcentral.
UAGGGAAUCUUCGGCAAUGGGGGGAACCCUGACCGAGCAACGCCGCGUGAGUGAAGAAGGUUUUCGGAUCGUAAAGCUCUGUUGUUAAGGAAGAACGAGUGUGAGAAUGGAAAGUUCAUACUGUGACGGUACUUAACCAGAAAGGGACGGCUAACUACGUGCCAGCAGCCGCGGUAAUACGUAGGUCCCGAGCGUUGUCCGGAUUUAUUGGGCGUAAAGCGAGCGCAGGCGGUUAGAUAAGUCUGAAGUUAAAGGCAGUGGCUCAACCAUUGUAGGCUUUGGAAACUGUUUAACUUGAGUGCAGAAGGGGAGAGUGGAAUUCCAUGUGUAGCGGUGAAAUGCGUAGAUAUAUGGAGGAACACCGGUGGCGAAAGCGGCUCUCUGGUCUGUAACUGACGCUGAGGCUCGAAAGCGUGGGGAGCGAACAGGAUUAGAUACCCUGGUAGUCCACGCCGUAACGAUGAGUGCUAGGUGUUAGGUCCUUUCCGGGACUUAGUGCCGCAGCUAACGCAUUAAGCACUCCGCCUGGGGAGUACGACCGCAAGGUG